UACGAAGGGGGCUAGCGUUGCUCGGAAUCACUGGGCGUAAAGCGCACGUAGGCGGAUCGUUAAGUCGGAGGUGAAAUCCUGGAGCUCAACUCCAGAACUGCCUUCGAUACUGGCGAUCUUGGAGUCCGGGAGAGGUGAGUGGAACUCCGAGUGUAGAGGUGAAAUUCGUAGAUAUCGAGAGGAACACCGGUGGCGAAGGCGGCGAUCUGGACGAUGACUGACGCUGAGACGCGAAAGCGUGGGGAGCAAACAGG
Molecule: ribosomal RNA, 254 nt
Filed under: uncultured bacterium
Lineage: Bacteria
Description: partial 16S ribosomal RNA
Rfam family: Bacterial small subunit ribosomal RNA
Source: RNAcentral